RNAcentral lists this long non-coding RNA (272 nucleotides) under Elaeis guineensis (African oil palm). RNAcentral describes it as "long non-coding RNA (EGUI_LNC046202)". Lineage: Eukaryota; Viridiplantae; Streptophyta; Magnoliopsida; Arecales; Arecaceae. The record is from RNAcentral.
UCAGCCAAAAGCUUCCAAAAUAGAGCAUCAGUGGUUCAAAAAGAAAGGAUUGGGUUUUAAGAAGAUGGUGAAGCUCGACAUGGUGGCAUGAUGAUUGUCGAAGAUGGGCAAGCAGGAAGAGGAAGGGAAUGGGGGACUUGGUGAUGAAUUUGAACAGAAGGCGAUGGAUUUAAAUAGAGAAGGAUGGGAAGGGUUGGGUCAUUUCUCCUCAGAUAAAGUUGGAUCUCACCGACAUAAAUAACCCAAACUCUUCCUCACUAGCGCACAACACC